UACAGAUACAGAUACAGAUAUUUCACAGCACACUCCCUAUAUCAGGGCUUUUCAGUGACUGGUUACAUUAUGAAUAGAUAGAUAGAACCGGACUGACGUGAAGCAGACCGAGGUAGACUUUGAGCUUACAAAUGGCGCUUGAGCAGCUGCCGCUUUUAGUCCAUACCUCAUUAAUGAUCUGCCUCCAAACCUAUGUGCCUAACCCACCCUGUCAACUUUCCCUGUGGGAGGAAACACGGAGUACCCGGAGAAAACCCACGACUUUCGGCAGAGCGUUGACUUUUACUCUUUUCACAUGAGGACUGGGUUCGAGUCACAUUGAGAAGGUGUCACUGAGAUUCGAACCUGCGACCUUAGAGGUGAAAGGCAAGUGCGCUAACCACUUGG
RNAcentral lists this long non-coding RNA (387 nucleotides) under Paramuricea clavata. Lineage: Eukaryota; Metazoa; Cnidaria; Anthozoa; Malacalcyonacea; Plexauridae. The record is from RNAcentral.